CAGCAGCCGCGGGAAUACAGAGGGUGCAAGCGUUAAUCGGAAUUACUGGGCGUAAAGCGCGCGUAGGUGGUUUGUUAAGUUGGAUGUGAAAUCCCCGGGCUCAACCUGGGAACUGCAUCCAAAACUGGCAAGCUAGAGUAUGGUAGAGGGUGGUGGAAUUUCCUGUGUAGCGGUGAAAUGCGUAGAUAUAGGAAGGAACACCAGUGGCGAAGGCGACCACCUGGACUGAUACUGACACUGAGGUGCGAAAGCGUGGGGAGCAAACAGGAUUAGAUACCCCGGUAGUCCCAGUCUCUUAUAC
This 301-nucleotide ribosomal RNA is filed under the name uncultured bacterium. RNAcentral describes it as "partial 16S ribosomal RNA". It matches the Rfam family "Bacterial small subunit ribosomal RNA", at positions 509 to 807 of the family's 1533-position model. The record is from RNAcentral.